AUUGAACGCUGGCGGCAGGCUUAACACAUGCAAGUCGAACGAGUGGCGGACGGGUGAGUAAUGCUUGGGAAACUGGCUGAUGGAGGGGGAUAACGACGGGAAACUGUCGCUAAUACCGCAUACCAUAGGAUGAGCCCAAGUGGGAUUAGGUAGUGGGUGGGGUAAUGGCCUACCAAGCCGACGAUCCCUAGCUGGUCUGAGAGGAUGACCAGCCACACUGGUACUGAGACACGGUCCGGACUCCUACGGGAGGCAGCAGUGGGGAAUAUUGCGCAAUGGGGGCAACCUGAUGCAGCCAUGCCGCGUGUAUGAAGAAGGCCUUCGGGUUGUAAAGUUCUUUCGGUGACGAGGCGUUAAUCACAGAAGAAGCACCGGCUAACUCCGUGCCAGCAGCCGCGGUAAUUC
RNAcentral lists this ribosomal RNA (405 nucleotides) under uncultured bacterium. RNAcentral's name for it is "partial 16S ribosomal RNA". It matches the Rfam family "Bacterial small subunit ribosomal RNA", at positions 30 to 526 of the family's 1533-position model. The record is from RNAcentral.